GACGAACGCUGGCGGCGUGCUUAACACAUGCAAGUCGAACGAUGAAGCCUAGCUUGCUAGGUGGAUUAGUGGCGAACGGGUGAGUAAUACGUGAGUAACCUACCUUUAACUCUGGGAUAAGCCUGGGAAACUGGGUCUAAUACCGGAUACGACCAAUCUCCGCAUGGGGUGUUGGUGGAAAGCGUUAUGUAGUGGUUAUAGAUGGGCUCACGGCCUAUCAGCUUGUUGGUGAGGUAACGGCUCACCAAGGCGACGACGGGUAGCCGGCCUGAGAGGGUGACCGGCCACACUGGGACUGAGACACGGCCCAGACUCCUACGGGAGGCAGCAGUGGGGAAUAUUGCACAAUGGGGGCAACCCUGAUCCAGCCAUGCCGCGUGUCUGAAGAAGGCCUUCGGGUUGUAAAGGACUUUUGUCCGGGAAGAAAAGCGCGAUGUUAAUACCAUUGCGUGCUGACGGUACCGGAAGAAUAAGCACCGGCUAACUACGUGCCAGCAGCCGCGGUAAUACGUAGGGUGCGAGCGUUAAUCGGAAUUACUGGGCGUAAAGCGGGCGCAGACGGUUACUUAAGCAGGAUGUGAAAUCCCCGGGCUCAACCUGGGAAUUGCGUUCUGAACUGGGUGGCUAGAGUGUGUCAGAGGGGGGUAGAAUUCCACGUGUAGCAGUGAAAUGCGUAGAGAUGUGGAGGAAUACCGAUGGCGAGGCAGCCCCCUGGGAUAGCACUGACGUUCAUGCCCGAAAGCGUGGGUAGCAAACAGG
RNAcentral lists this ribosomal RNA (759 nucleotides) under uncultured Mogibacterium sp. RNAcentral's name for it is "bacterial SSU rRNA". It matches the Rfam family "Bacterial small subunit ribosomal RNA", at positions 28 to 776 of the family's 1533-position model. The record is from RNAcentral. Lineage: Bacteria; Bacillati; Bacillota; Clostridia; Peptostreptococcales; Anaerovoracaceae.